This is an RNA transcript of Vigna angularis (adzuki bean), 3828 nucleotides long. It is a transcript of the gene named ATP-dependent DNA helicase SRS2-like protein At4g25120, with no coding region annotated. The transcript is spliced from 29 exons. Lineage: Eukaryota; Viridiplantae; Streptophyta; Magnoliopsida; Fabales; Fabaceae. The record is from RefSeq and is a predicted model, not a curated record.
AAGAAAACACUUUCAAAAGAGGGAGAAAGAAACCAUAGUCAUUCGUGGUCUCCUUCAUGCGCCUCGCAGCAUACCCUGUCAGUAACCGCGGCAGGGUUUGACGUUUUGGACUUCCCACCGAAAUGACGGACCAAAGAAGUGGCCGAAUCAGCGCUUAUUUCAGUGCUUCGAAGCCCAUUCUUUCUCGAAAAAGACCUUCGGAUUCUUCUCCCCUUCAAUGUCACGGAAUCAAGAAUGCUGGUGAUGUUGGUUCCGGUUCUGUUGCGAAGAGAGUUCCCCUUGCGGAGGUACCGCUGAACAUGUUCAAUGCGGCUGGGAAUUACCAUGGUCCAUCGUCUGAGUCAAAUUACGGCAGCUUCAAUUCAAGGAAUGUGUCUGUUUCUGCACUUGUUUCCGCGAAUGAGAAUCUGUGUCAAUCUUUGUUUGAAACUCCAAGGAGAGAACCUGAAGGCUCUAAACCAAAAGAGCUGGAUUAUUUUGCCGCGAGUGGCCUUCUUGAUGACGACUUUGAUGACUCUGUUUUGGAGCAGAUUGACAUUUUGGUCGAGCAGAAAUCUGCAGAGAAAGCAGUAGAGAAAGCAGUAGAGCAGCAUUUAGAUUGUAGAUGUGACGAGAAAGUUUUGAACCAGACCAAUAUUGCUGGUGAGGUUAGUCUGAGUUCAGGAUGCAGUACUGUUUCUGUGGGGUUAGGAAAUGGUCACCUGCUUAACUCUGGGGUUGAUCUACAUACCAAACAAGACGAAGUGGAUACAAGCUUGCAAGGUUUAUUAAAUAGCAACAGCAGCAUGCCUGAGGAAUAUUUGAAAUACUUGCAGUCCCUAAAUGACAGGCAAAGAGAAGCAGCUUGCACUGAUAUUUCAACCCCUUUAAUGAUUGUAGCUGGUCCAGGAAGUGGAAAGACAUCCACAAUGGUAGGGCGUGUAUUGAUGCUCCUCAAUGAGGGCAUUAGUCCAUCAAACAUUCUGGCUAUGACAUUCACAACAGCAGCUGCUUCUGAAAUGAGAGAACGUAUAGGAGCUAUAGCUGGGAAGACAACAGCUAAAGAACUUACUAUCAGUACUUUUCAUUCAUUUUCCUUGCAACUUUGUCGUUCACAUGGAGAAAAGUUGGGUCGUACAUCUGAAUUCUAUAUUUAUGGACAGGGCCAGCAGCGAAAUGCAAUUAUUGAGGCCGUCAGAUUGUUAGAAAAUGAAAAGUGUAGAAAUAAAGAUGGUGCAUUAUUAAUGGGUGAUUUAUCCAAUAGUGUAGAGAAUCCUAAACAGUUCAAGGAUAAGGCAAAGAAAUGGCAAAAGUUUGUGGCUCAGGCCAAAGCUUCGGGAAGAACUUCUGCAGAAUAUCGUGCAAUGGGCAAUGAAAUUGGAGCAGAAAUUCUUGAGAAUUACAACAACAUAUUAAAAUCUUGUAAUGCUCUGGAUUAUCAUGACUUGAUCAGCUGUUCUGUGAUGCUACUCAGUGAUUUUCCUGAAGUUUUGAAAGAAUCUCAGGAUUCAUGGAAAGCUAUUGUUAUAGAUGAAUUCCAAGAUACUAGUGCCAUGCAAUACAAGUUUCUAAAGAUACUUGGAUCUCAUCAUAAAAUAACAAUUGUUGGUGAUGACGAUCAGUCUAUUUACAGUUUCAACGGAGCUGACAUUUCUGGAUUUACAUCAUUUCGAAAUGAUUUUCCAAAAUACAAAGAGAUUAGGCUUAACAAAAACUAUCGAUCCACACGUUGCAUUGUUGAGGCUGCAUCUUGUCUUAUUCAAAACAAUUCCAAGCGAAGUCAGCUGAAGAAUGUUCUUACCGAUAACUCUUCUGGUUCUAAGAUAGUUAUGAAGGAGUGUCACAAUGAGGAUGCACAAUGCGCAUUUGUUGUUGACAAAAUCUUAGAAAUGUCAUCAGAUCAUUCAACUGAUAACUGUUGUUUUGGCAACGUUGCAAUUCUCUACCGUAGGCAGGUAUCAGGGAAAGCCUUCCAAAUGGCUUUCCGUGAUAGGAAAAUACCAUUUAACAUUCACGGUGUGGCUUUUUACAGAAAAAAGGUAGUCAGAACUAUCAUUGCCAUGCUUCGAACGACCCUGCCUGGUUGUGAUGAUGGGUCAUAUAGUCGAGUAUUCAAGGCUUUAUUGCCGUUGGAGAAAGAUAAAAAAAAGAGGAUAAUUGACCAUAUCAACAAAAUAUCAACAAUUAGAAAAUGUAGUUUCUUGUCGGCUGCCUCUGACAUAUUUAGUGCAAAGAUUUCUGGUACCUUUAAAAGAAGUGAGCUUACUCAUGGAAGGAAGGUUUUAACGACUCUAGAGAUGAUAUCAAAACUUACCCAGAGGGAAAAAUCAAUCUCAGCUAUCAUAACUUCUGUGGCAAACAUGAUACCCGAGAAAUACCUUCUUGAGCAACGGGCAAUCACUGAUGUUGAUGGAGGCACAUUCCUCAAUGAAGACUAUGACAUGAGAUCUGUUCUUCAAUACCUAUUGGACGAUGUCUCUGAGUUUCUAUCCACUAAAUUAGUUGAGGUAGAAGGGGAAAGGGAAAUAUCAGAAGAUAAGGGCUGCACUUUUGUUUUAAAAGCAUUCAUUGAUUAUUUAUUUGAACGUGAGAGAGAAAAUUGUCGUGCUCGAAGGAGGAACAAUGAAAACUCUGUGACAUUGACUACCAUUCAUCAGGCAAAAGGUUUAGAGUGGGAUGUUGUCUUCAUAGUUAAGGCAAAUGACUCUGAGAUCCCGCUGUUACACAAUUUCAAGGGUACUGUAAAGGACACUGCAGCCUUGGUUGAGGAAGAAAGACGCUUGUUGUAUGUUGCAAUGACUCGUGCUCGGCAGAAGCUUUUUAUGCUUUACGUAUUGAUGGACUCAAACUGGCAGAUACUUCAACCGUCAAGAUUUCUGAAAGAAAUCCCCCGUAGUCUUAUAGAAGUCCAGGGUGAAACAAAUUUACAAGAACUACAGAUAAAGCACGAAGCUUUUCAAAAGGAACCUACCCCCUGUACCACUGACUUGUUGAUAAAAGAGAGACCAACUGAAGCAGAUGUGGUCCCUAUGCCUCCUGAAAUACUUGAUAAUCAUUCCAGUGACAUUUCCAAUGAGCUUGCACAAUUUGAUGAGGCAAACAGUGGAAAUGAUUUCUUAAGAAGAUUUAGUGUUGAGGACAGAUCUAUUGUUUCCCAUUUAUUCCAUCAAUGGGCCAAAAAAAAAGCAUUUCAAGAUCCAAAGAGAUUGCUUGACAAGGUUAGUUUUGUAAUUGAUGAACGCCUGAGACAGAAGAGAAACAAAAACAAGGACUUAUUGAAUACAUUAAAACCUUGCUUAAGCUGUGACGAAGCAUUUCAGUAUGCUCAAUAUGUUUUGAGAUGGGAGCAGAUUCCUGCUGAUAAACGUGCUCAUCUUAUGAGAGAAAAACAGGAAUCUGUUAGAAGACUUGUUAGGAUGCGGCAACGGGCAACACAGAAUUAGUGAUUGUAUACCUGUAGGUACUAGAUUGAUUCAUUUAUAAAUAGGUGCGAGUGGAUCAACACGAUCCUAUAAUAAUUGGUCUAAAUAAGUCGAUACACUAAACCAACCUUAUGCAAAGCAUUUAUGUAAUUUUCCCCCUGCUAUUGAGUGAUAUGCAUAACAAGUAUUUUCGUGGAUUGAGGUACGUAUAUAGUAACCAUGAUUUUCGUUGUUUUCAUAUUGAAUAUAAGAUUUUGGAGUAUUUUUUCACUUUUCAGGAACAUUUUCUUAAAUUAAAGAUUGAGAAUGCAAUGGGUUCUGCAACACCAACUGUCAAGCAGAUCUCAUAUUUGAAAAAACUGGGUUGCACUGUGACCCCUACAUCUCGCCUUCAUGCGUCUCAUCUUAUUGAGCAGUACAAAUCACU